GCAAGCACUGAGCGCGUGGACGCGGUAAGACGUAGGAGGCGAGGUGUGUACGGAUGGAGUGUAGGUAAAGAGCACGCAGGCGUGUUUGCAAGACGGAUGUGGAAACCCGAAGCUCAACUUCGGGCCUGUGUCCUAAACUGCCCGACUAGAGGUAGGUAGUGGAGAUCGGAAGUCCUGGUGUAGCGGUGAAAUGCGCAGAUAUCAGGAGGAACUCCGGUGGCGAAUGCGGAUCUCUGGGCCUUACCUGACGCUCAGGUGCGAAAGCUAGGGGAGCGAACAGGAUUAGAUACCCGGGUAGUC
RNAcentral lists this ribosomal RNA (300 nucleotides) under uncultured Oceanotoga sp. RNAcentral's name for it is "bacterial SSU rRNA". It matches the Rfam family "Bacterial small subunit ribosomal RNA", at positions 496 to 795 of the family's 1533-position model. Lineage: Bacteria; Thermotogati; Thermotogota; Thermotogae; Petrotogales; Petrotogaceae. The record is from RNAcentral.